RNAcentral lists this transfer RNA (80 nucleotides) under Desmophyllum pertusum. RNAcentral's name for it is "tRNA-Phe". The stretch from base 8 to 65 matches the Rfam family "tRNA", at positions 8 to 63 of the family's 71-position model. Rfam says of the family: Transfer RNA (tRNA) molecules are approximately 80 nucleotides in length. Lineage: Eukaryota; Metazoa; Cnidaria; Anthozoa; Scleractinia; Caryophylliidae. The record is from RNAcentral.
GCCGAGAUAGCUCAGUUGGGAGAGCGUCAGACUGAAGAUCUGAAUUUCUCUGGUUCAAAUCCGGAGAGUUCGUAUGAGCU